This 399-nucleotide ribosomal RNA is filed under the name Triticum aestivum (bread wheat). RNAcentral describes it as "partial small subunit ribosomal RNA". The record is from RNAcentral. Lineage: Eukaryota; Viridiplantae; Streptophyta; Magnoliopsida; Poales; Poaceae.
AUGGGCAACACCCUGCCAUGCAUGUGCAACGAGGCCAGGGUGGUGCACGCCACCGUCGCCGGUGCCAAGAAGGUGAAGAGGAAGGAGCGGCUGGCGGCGGCCAAGAACGUCGUCGACGACAGGGAGGAUCAGGACCGCGGCGACGACGAGGGGGUGGAGAAGAGGCCGGCGUGGCCGCGGUGCCACAUGCAGGAGGUUGCCGUGGGCGAGGACGGCGCGGUGCGGUUGAAGGUGGUGAUGACGAGGAAGGACGCGGCGGAGUUCAUGGCGAGGCUGGAGGAGCGGGCCGCAGCGGAGAGGAAAGCCAGGACGGGGUGUCUCAGCCACGGCGGCGCCGUCACGGGCCCGUGCCGAGAUGCGUGGAGGCCUCGUCUCGCGACCAUACAGGAGAACUGCUAG